RNAcentral lists this long non-coding RNA (263 nucleotides) under Lathyrus oleraceus (garden pea). RNAcentral's name for it is "Pisum sativum (pea) long non-coding RNA (PSAT_LNC009097)". Lineage: Eukaryota; Viridiplantae; Streptophyta; Magnoliopsida; Fabales; Fabaceae. The record is from RNAcentral.
GGAAACUUUUUGUCGGUAAGUUGUUUAAUAAGAUGUCUUGAAUUGUUGUGAGACAUCUUGGCGCGUGCACUGCUAAGAAUGUGUUAUGAUCACUUCAACAUUUAGUUAGGAAAUUUGUUUCAAUUUUAAUUUGAUCAGAAGAUUGCUUUUGGAAAAAUGGUGAUAAUUCAAAUCAGGUUGGAAAAUAUUUUAUUAAAUCAUAAAUCUGAAUGAAGAAGAUUUAAUUGGAUAUGAUUUAAUUAAAGAUAUAUAUUUGAUUUAAU